This 29-nucleotide non-coding RNA is filed under the name Rattus norvegicus (Norway rat). The record is from RNAcentral. Lineage: Eukaryota; Metazoa; Chordata; Mammalia; Rodentia; Muridae.
UGGGAGAAUAUAAAGGUUCAUACAAUGGG